RNAcentral lists this ribosomal RNA (256 nucleotides) under uncultured archaeon. RNAcentral's name for it is "partial 16S ribosomal RNA". It matches the Rfam family "Bacterial small subunit ribosomal RNA", at positions 521 to 776 of the family's 1533-position model. The record is from RNAcentral.
UAAAACGUAGGAGGCGAGCGUUAUCCGGAUUUACUGGGUGUAAAGCGCGUGCAGGCGGUUUGUUAAGUUGGGUGUGAAAGCUCCUGGCUCAACUGGGAGAGGUCGCUCAAGACUGGCAGACUGGAGCAUGGUAGGGGAAGGUGGAAUUCCGGGAGUAGUGGUGAAAUGCGUAGAUAUCCGGAGGAACACCAGUGGCGAAAGCGGCCUUCUGGACCAUGACUGACGCUCAGACGCGAAAGCCAGGGGAGCAAACGGG